RNAcentral lists this ribosomal RNA (495 nucleotides) under Triticum aestivum (bread wheat). RNAcentral describes it as "partial small subunit ribosomal RNA". Lineage: Eukaryota; Viridiplantae; Streptophyta; Magnoliopsida; Poales; Poaceae. The record is from RNAcentral.
AUGGUCCUCGCCACCGUAAUCGCCUCCAUCACGUACGCCUCGGGCCUAAGCCCGCCAGGCAGCUUCGAGAAAGUGCCGGAGCAAAUUGUACGAGUCCCCAGUCCUCCACCUCCGCCUCCAUCGCUUAUCCCUCCGGAUAUAUCAGAUCCAACUAUACCGCCUACCACCUAUGGGGAACAGAUGAUUCCUCUUCUCUUCAUCGUGAGUCCUACCAGGUGCAGGAUCUUCUACUACAGCAACACCGCCGCCUUCGCGCUGUCCCUCUCCAUCAUCCUGCUGCUGGCCAGCCAGGACCUGCUCAGGCUGGCCAAGAUCAAGGCCCUUGAGAUCCUUGUGGCACUCAACGUCAUGGCCUUGCUAGUGGCGUAUGUCGCCGCGGCUUCCUUCGGCUCGGUGCAGCUCUUGGUCUGCGUUGGGCUCGUCCUCGCCGUGCCGGUGGCCCUCGUCGUGAUGUCCUCCCGCCUGUGCGGGAAUUACUUCUGGGAUGGACUCUGA